UCAUGUGGCUAAGAAAUUUAUUUUGUAUUUCAUCAUUAAGUUUUUGCAGAUUGUGGGCUCGGAGUUCCAAAAACAUGACUAAAACCUCAGAGUUAGGCAGACAUUUUUUAUCUUUCUUUUUGCAGAUGAUAGAUCGGCUCAGGUUCUCCGUCUAAGAAAGGGGGAAGAGAUCUUGCAAAAUUAAGAGGUUCUUACUAAUUUCUUCAUGAUGUUAAUUUAUGAAUAUAAUGAUGUCCCCUGCCAUCGCGACGCCGUCGCCACAUCUCUGUCGCCGUCGACCUUAGAUCGUUAUUCCGAAGUAGAAACCCUAGGUCCCUAGCCGCCGCCAUCGUAACCCCGUCGGGCGCAUCUCCUUCGCCGUCGCUGCAUCUGUUUGCCGUUGAGAUGGGUCGUGCAGUGGUGGAUGGCUGCUUUGAUUUGCUGGUGACCAUGUAUUUUUGGAAUGUUUGGAAACUUGUUUUUUGUUUUAAUCUGUAUUGGGUAUUGACUUUCUGUAUUUUAUUUGUUUGGUUGUUGAGAAACUUGAAGGAAAAAAGCCCAAAUUUAUUUCCUUCGUCAUUUUCA
Long non-coding RNA from Juglans regia (Persian walnut), 564 nucleotides. RefSeq lists it as uncharacterized. The transcript has 2 exons. The record is from RefSeq and is a predicted model, not a curated record. Lineage: Eukaryota; Viridiplantae; Streptophyta; Magnoliopsida; Fagales; Juglandaceae.